UAAUACCCACGGGUCUUACGCAGCAAUGCGCUUGGAGAUGGAGUUUGUGGCCGAUUAGCUAGUUGGCGGGGUAAUGGCCCACCAAGGCGAUGAUCGGUAUCCGGCCUGAUGAGGGCGCACGGACACACUGGGUACUGAGACACGGUCCAAACUCAUAACGGGAGGCAGCAGUGGGGAAUUUUGCGCAAUGGGGGAAACCCUGACGCAGCAACGCCGCGUGGAGGAUGAAGCCCCUUGGGGUGUAAACUCCUUUCGAUCGGGAAGAUAAUGACGGUACCGAUAUAAGAAGCCCCGGCUAACUUCGUGCCAGCAGCCGCGGUAAUACGAGGGGGGCAAGCGUUGUUCGGAAUUAUUGGGCGUAAAGGGUGCGUAGGCGGUUUGACAAGUCUGAUGUGAAAUCUAUGGGCUCAACCCAUAGUCUGCAUCGGAAACUGUCGGGCUUGAGUAUGGGAGAGGUGAGUGGAAUUUCCGGUGUAGCGGUGAAAU
Molecule: ribosomal RNA, 486 nt
Filed under: uncultured bacterium
Lineage: Bacteria
Description: bacterial SSU rRNA
Rfam family: Bacterial small subunit ribosomal RNA
Source: RNAcentral